RNAcentral lists this non-coding RNA (30 nucleotides) under Rattus norvegicus (Norway rat). Lineage: Eukaryota; Metazoa; Chordata; Mammalia; Rodentia; Muridae. The record is from RNAcentral.
UAAUAAAUGCACAGUUGUUGAUUGAAAAUA